RNAcentral lists this ribosomal RNA (468 nucleotides) under uncultured bacterium. Its description in RNAcentral is "partial 16S ribosomal RNA". It matches the Rfam family "Bacterial small subunit ribosomal RNA", at positions 28 to 507 of the family's 1533-position model. The record is from RNAcentral.
GACGAACGCUGGCGGCGUGCUUAACACAUGCAAGUCGAACGGAAAGGCCCUGCUUUUGUGGGGUGCUCGAGUGGCGAACGGGUGAGUAACACGUGAGUAACCUGCCCUUGACUUUGGGAUAACUUCAGGAAACUGGGGCUAAUACCGGAUAGGAGCUCCUGCUGCAUGGUGGGGGUUGGAAAGAUUCGGCGGUUGGGGAUGGACUCGCGGCUUAUCAGCUUGUUGGUGGGGUAGUGGCUUACCAAGGCUUUGACGGGUAGCCGGCCUGAGAGGGUGACCGGCGACAUUGGGACUGAGAGACGGCCCAGACUCCUACGGGAGGCAGCAGGGGGGAAUAUUGCACAAUGGGCGGAAGCCUGAUGCAGCAACGCCGCGUGCGGGAUGACGGCCUUCGGGUUGUAAACCGCUUUCGCCUGUGACGAAGCGUGAGUGACGGUAAUGGGUAAAGAAGCACCGGCUAACUACGUG